CCUGAGCCCACCAUCCAAUAAAUGGUGGAAGCCUGUACUCUCCUCAUCACACACCCAUGCUACCACAGGAUAUGGCUGUAAAAACAGGGCACUGUUUGAUGACAGACAAAACAGGCUGGAGGAGGACAGCAGUCCAUGGCCCUUCCUCAGGCAAACAUCCUGGACAGAUUUUGCUGCUUGGCUGGACAGAGGUCCAUAUGCAGACACAAAUAUAAAACAAAACAAAAAGGAAAGCUACUGUUCAUAGCAUUUUCCUGUUUAAGAGCAUUUUGACUACAGCCUAAUUGCUACCAGAAGUUUACUAAAGCCAUGAAAGAAAAAGUGCAAAGCUACUGGUUUCAUUUCUUUCAUCUGCUUGCUAACCACUGAGAAGAGUUUUAACAACUUAUAUGCCUCAUUUGAAGCUGUUAACAAAGUACUUAAAUCCCAGGGUUCGGGGGUAAAUCUCCAUGGAUUUCAGGCUGCUAAGGCAUGGGAAGAAGGAAAGGAGCAGCAAAUGAGGGAGAUCGCUUUUUAAGGAUGUGUCCCACCAAGUGUAAAUGUGCUUCCUGGAGUGUCCAGGGACCAGUAGCAAUACAUAAGGAACUUAUGGAAGCUUAUUUUGUAAAUUGAAGGAAAAUAACUCAGGCUAAGUUCUAACUCCUGUGUGAUAUCCAUGCUUUUGUGUCAGCCCUG
This 675-nucleotide long non-coding RNA is filed under the name Parus major (Great Tit). RNAcentral's name for it is "lncRNA (ENSPMJG00000015395.1)". Lineage: Eukaryota; Metazoa; Chordata; Aves; Passeriformes; Paridae. The record is from RNAcentral.